AGUGCAGAGUUCUCUACCCUUUUCCAAAACCACCUACAUAUCUUUCUGUGACCUCAGAGCUUCUGGUCCUUUGCACUGAGUUAGCCCUGAAGUCCAGCUAAUGUAAUUCACAGUCUGUUAGUUUCAAUGUAAACCAAAUACAUAACUCUAUAUAACGAUGCAAAAUUACUACAUGCAUUUUUUUGAAAGUUUCAUCCAAAGUUUGCUAUAUUUGCAAGAAUGACAUUGUAAAACACUGUAGGGUAUAUGUUAUACAUAUGUUUAGUAUUUGUAAAUUAAAAUGUAUUCCCUAGAAGUUUGUGCUAUAAUAUGCUAUGUAUUCAAUAAAGUCACACAGUGUUCCUUUAGCUGUCAAUUUGACUUCUGUGGCUUGGUCUCAUCAGCAGGGAUUGGGGAGUUGCCUUAUCAUUCUACCCAAGCAGGAUGCAACCAUCUUCUCCAUACUGGGUGUCGACUCUUCUUAUUCAGGUGAGAACUUCUCUUGCAAUGGGAGAAGUCAGCCCCACCCUCAUAUUUUAGAAUCCACCCUAGCACAUAUCUGUGUCUUAACCCUGAAACCGUCCUGGGCGAGUGACUGUACUGGCUGGAACAGGUUCCAGAAAUAAACAACUAAGGAACAACAUCUGAUGUUUUGUGCUUUUACUGUCACCUACUUGAGUGUUCUGUACUGCAGUCCCCACAUGAACAAGGACUAAAAGAAACACAGAUCACUGUGGCUAAAAAUGAGGGGUAGGGAAAUAGAAAAGAAUUAACGAGAGGCUGGAUUCUUGUCCCAUUCUUUCCUUUCAAAGGACCCAUCAUGCGAUCACAAAACUGAGCGCUCAUCAACUUAACGACGCAUCAGCUGAUGCUAGCACAUUCGGGCAGUAACAUCACGUAGAAAUAUGCAAGGACAGUUAGGUAGCUGUAUUGCAGUGUUUGUCCACAGAGGCCUGGCCCCUUUCCACCUAGAGAGUUAAUCUGCUUCCUGAGGUGGAAAGAACUUUUGAUUUUUUUCUGGAAAUGGAUUUCUGGAUGGAUGGACUCCAAGAGGACAGAGUUCAUCUUAGCUGGUACCUAGAAGACUGUUUUUGAGGAAUCUGGAAAGUGGGUGAGACAAACUUAGGGUAUAUUUACACUGCAAUUAAAAACCCACAGCUGGCCUGUGCCAGAUGACUCGGGCUCGCGGGGCUCAUGCUAAGGGGCUGUUCAAUUGUAGUGUAGAAGUUCAGGCACAGGCUGGAGCCUGCGCUCUAGCACCCUGUGAGGUGGGAGGGUCCCAGAGCUCGGGCUGCAUCUGAGCACUAAUCUACACCGGGUAAUAUGGUACUUUUUAUUAUUUGGGGGGGGGGGGGG
Molecule: long non-coding RNA, 1335 nt
Filed under: Chrysemys picta bellii (western painted turtle)
Lineage: Eukaryota; Metazoa; Chordata; Testudines; Emydidae
Description: lncRNA (ENSCPBG00000004717.1)
Source: RNAcentral